UCUUUCUUUCCUUUCUUUUUUUUUUUUUGCUUCUUAUUUCUUUCCUUUGUUCUCCCUUCCCUUCCUUUCUUUCCUUUUCUUCUCCCUUCCCUUCCUUUCUUUCUUUUCUCUUUCUUCUUCUUACCUGCAUGGAUGAGCUUUAGGAUGUCACCAUUCUCUCAAUCCUAUUUCCUUACAGGAAUGGGACGGGAUGGUCGGGAUGCCCCUCGUCCUGCUAGGAUUUAAAUAUUGAUGUGGAGAACGAUGAAAUCAAUUGACAAGGGAUCUAUCUUGUCACAAGGGAUACAUCAAUCAACAUAGAUGGGAAAAGCAAAGGGUGGAUCAAUUUUCAUCAAGCUGGUUUCAGCUGCAGGAACUGGAUUUUUCUCCGUUAAGCGAAAGAAUCCUCGGAGAAUCACAGAGAAACUCGAGUUUCGUAAGUACGACCCGCGAGUGAAUAAGCAUGUUCUCUUCACAGAGGCAAAGAUGAAGUGAUGUCUUUCAUGUUUCUUUCCAAGCACUGUCCAAUGCAGUCUCUUGCUCAAAAUGUAUUAGCUGUGGCAACUUUCAAUCUCUUAUUGGAUGUACCGUCUAGAAUUCCAUAUGUAGCUGCCCAGCCAUAUCACUCAACCGUUGAACAAUUAUUUGGUAUUUCAUGUUUAUGGAAUCCGGCAAUUAAUGUCAUCUGGUUCAUAUAGUUUGUAGUUCA
This is a non-coding RNA of Elaeis guineensis (African oil palm), 688 nucleotides long. The record is from RefSeq and is a predicted model, not a curated record. Lineage: Eukaryota; Viridiplantae; Streptophyta; Magnoliopsida; Arecales; Arecaceae.